AGAGACUCAGUGAAAUUGAAUUCCCCGUGAAGAUGCGGGGUUCCUGCGGUCAGACGGAAAGACCCCGUGCACCUUUACUAUAGGUUCACAUUGACAUUGGAUAAUUCAUGUGUAGGAUAGGUGGGAGACUUUGAUCUUGCUUCGCUAGGAGUAAGUUAGUCGUCCUUGAAAUACCACCCUUGGAUUAUUUGAUGUCUAAUCCCUAGCAAUAGGGAGACAUUGUGUGCUGGGUAGUUUGACUGGGGUGGUCGCCUCCAAAAGAGUAACGGAGGCUUCUAAAGGUGCCCUCAACACGGUUGGCAAUCGUGUGCAGAGUGCAAUGGCACAAGGGCGCUUGACUGUGAGACAUACAGGUCGAACAGGUAGGAAACUAGAGCAUAGUGAUCCGGUGGUUCCGCAUGGAAGGGCCAUCGCUCAAAGGAUAAAAGGUACGCCGGGGAUAACAGGCUGAUCUCCCCCAAGAGCUCAUAUCGACGGGGAGGUUUGGCACCUCGAUGUCGGCU
Molecule: ribosomal RNA, 503 nt
Filed under: Kryptoperidinium foliaceum
Lineage: Eukaryota; Dinophyceae; Peridiniales; Kryptoperidiniaceae
Description: partial Bacterial large subunit ribosomal RNA
Rfam family: Bacterial large subunit ribosomal RNA
Source: RNAcentral